Molecule: ribosomal RNA, 496 nt
Filed under: Staphylococcus aureus
Lineage: Bacteria; Bacillati; Bacillota; Bacilli; Caryophanales; Staphylococcaceae
Description: bacterial SSU rRNA
Rfam family: Bacterial small subunit ribosomal RNA
Source: RNAcentral
UCAUGCUCAGGAUGAACGCUGGCGGCGUGCCUAAUACAUGCAAGUCGAGCGAACGGACGAGAAGCUUGCUUCUCUGAUGUUAGCGGCGGACGGGUGAGUAACACGUGGAUAACCUACCUAUAAGACUGGGAUAACUUCGGGAAACCGGAGCUAAUACCGGAUAAUAUUUUGAACCGCAUGGUUCAAAAGUGAAAGACGGUCUUGCUGUCACUUAUAGAUGGAUCCGCGCUGCAUUAGCUAGUUGGUAAGGUAACGGCUUACCAAGGCAACGAUGCAUAGCCGACCUGAGAGGGUGAUCGGCCACACUGGAACUGAGACACGGUCCAGACUCCUACGGGAGGCAGCAGUAGGGAAUCUUCCGCAAUGGGCGAAAGCCUGACGGAGCAACGCCGCGUGAGUGAUGAAGGUCUUCGGAUCGUAAAACUCUGUUAUUAGGGAAGAACAUAUGUGUAAGUAACUGUGCACAUCUGACGGUACCUAAUCUAGAAAGCCACGG